GACGAACGCUGGCGGCGUGCCUAAUACAUGCAAGUAGAACGCACAGUUUAUACCGUAGCUUGCUACACCAUAGACUGUGAGUUGCGAACGGGUGAGUAACGCGUAGGUAACCUGCCUGGUAGCGGGGGAUAACUAUUGGAAACGAUAGCUAAUACCGCAUAAUAUUGAUUAUUGCAUGAUAAUUAAUUGAAAGGUGCAAUUGCACCACUACCAGAUGGACCUGCGUUGUAUUAGCUAGUAGGUGAGGUAACGGCUCACCUAGGCGACGAUACAUAGCCGACCUGAGAGGGUGAUCGGCCACACUGGGACUGAGACACGCCCCAGACUCCUACGGGAGGCAGCAGUAGGGAAUCUUCGGCAAUGGACGAAAGUCUGACCGAGCAACGCCGCGUGAGUGAAGAAGGUUUUCGGAUCGUAAAGCUCUGUUGUAAGAGAAGAACGGGUGUGAGAGUGGAAAGUUCACACUGUGACGGUAGCUUACCAGAAAGGGACGGCUAACUACGUG
Molecule: ribosomal RNA, 505 nt
Filed under: uncultured bacterium
Lineage: Bacteria
Description: partial 16S ribosomal RNA
Rfam family: Bacterial small subunit ribosomal RNA
Source: RNAcentral